AAGGUCCAUAAAAAUAAGAUGUUAUAUAUAUCUAACUCUACAUAUUAACAGAUUUACAAAGAAUACAAGUUAGUAUAGAACAAAAGAAUCAGUUAGCAAUGAAUACUAUAUAUGUCUAGAGAUAUGUCAAACAAGCCUAUUUGAAUUCCAUAGGACCAGAAGCAAUAUCAAUUUAACGGAGUAAAGCCAUAACUAAUAAAAAAAAAGCAAAACUUAACGAAAGGAAAUGAAGUACUCCAUCUACAAAGAUCUCGAAUUAACGGUUGACUCCGAAAAGCUCUAGAUCCAUUACAUGUAUAUAAAGAGAAUACAAGUUGCCACCAAAAUGCACUUCAACAAGAACAAAGGGCAAACAGGGAUCUAAUUUUCAGUUACAUGUCAGAACUUCAAUACUAU
Molecule: unclassified non-coding RNA, 396 nt
Filed under: Hevea brasiliensis (rubber tree)
Lineage: Eukaryota; Viridiplantae; Streptophyta; Magnoliopsida; Malpighiales; Euphorbiaceae
Source: RNAcentral